GCGGUAGUUUAGUCUUGUUAGAGGAACCUGCUUUUUUAAUCGAUACUCCACGUAUUAUUUUACUUAUUUUAUUAUAGUUUGUAUACCAUCAUUAGCAGAUGAUUUUUAAAGGAAAUAAUCAUUGAAAUUGAAUAUUGUUAAAAAAAUUAGAUCAAGGUGCAGCUGAUGAAUAAGUUAAAAUGGGUUACAAUAAAAUUUAUUUAAUACGGAAUAAAUUAGUAAGAAAGUUUAGGAAGGGGGAUUUAAUUGUAAUAUAAAUUUAAUAAGUUUAUAUGAUAUGAGCUCUAAAUUAUGUACACAUCGCC
This 305-nucleotide ribosomal RNA is filed under the name Socotra pseudocardisoma. RNAcentral describes it as "partial 12S ribosomal RNA". The record is from RNAcentral. Lineage: Eukaryota; Metazoa; Arthropoda; Malacostraca; Decapoda; Potamidae.